GAUGAACGCUGGCGGCGUGCCUAAUACAUGCAAGUCGAACGAAACUUCUUUAUCACCGAGUGCUUGCACUCACCGAUAAAGAGUUGAGUGGCGAACGGGUGAGUAACACGUGGGCAACCUGCCCAAAAGAGGGGGAUAACACUUGGAAACAGGUGCUAAUACCGCAUAACCAUAGUUACCGCAUGGUAACUAUGUAAAAGGUGGCUAUACUACCGCUUUUGGAUGGGCCCGCGGCGCAUUAGCUAGUUGGUAGGGUAAAGGCUUACCAAGGCAAUGAUGCGUAGCCGAAUUGAGAGGUUGAUCGGCCACAUUGGGACUGAGACACGGCCCAAACUCCUACGGGAGGCAGCAGUAGGGAAUCUUCCACAAUGGGCGAAAGCCUGAUGGAGCAACGCCGCGUGGGUGAAGAAGGUCUUCGGAUCGUAAAACCCUGUUGUUGGAGAAGAAAGUGCGUGAGAGUAACUGUUCACGUUUCGACGGUAUCUAACCAGAAAGCCACGGCUAACUACGUG
This 512-nucleotide ribosomal RNA is filed under the name uncultured bacterium. Its description in RNAcentral is "partial 16S ribosomal RNA". It matches the Rfam family "Bacterial small subunit ribosomal RNA", at positions 28 to 507 of the family's 1533-position model. The record is from RNAcentral.